GGGCGCAAGCCUGAUGCAGCGACGCCGCGUGCGGGAUGACGGCCUUCGGGUUGUAAACCGCUUUUGACAGGGACGAAGCGCAAGUGACUGUACCUGUAGAAUAAGGACCGGCCAACUACGUGCCAGCAGCCGCGGUAAUACGUAGGGUCCGAGCGUUGUCCGGAAUUACUGGGCGUAAAGAGCUUGUAGGCGGUUCGUCGCGUCGUUUGUGAAAACUUGGGGCUCAACCUUAAGCUUGCAGGCGAUACGGGCGGACUAGAGUACUUCAGGGGAGACUGGAAUUCCUGGUGUAGCGGUGAAAUGCGCAGAUAUCAGGAGGAACACCGGUGGCGAAGGCGGGUCUCUGGGAAGUAACUGACGCUGAGAAGCGAAAGCAUGGGUAGCAAACAGGAUUAGAUACCCUGGUAGUCCAUGCCGUAAACGGUGGGUACUAGGUGUGGGGCUCCUUCCACGGACUCCGUGCCGUAGCUAACGCAUUAAGUACCCCGCCUGGGGAGUACGGCCGCAAGGCUAAAACUCAAAGAAAUUGACGGGGG
RNAcentral lists this ribosomal RNA (536 nucleotides) under Nocardia fluminea. RNAcentral's name for it is "bacterial SSU rRNA". It matches the Rfam family "Bacterial small subunit ribosomal RNA", at positions 373 to 919 of the family's 1533-position model. The record is from RNAcentral. Lineage: Bacteria; Bacillati; Actinomycetota; Actinomycetes; Mycobacteriales; Nocardiaceae.